This 67-nucleotide transfer RNA is filed under the name Scutiger liupanensis (Liupan alpine toad). RNAcentral describes it as "tRNA-Trp". Lineage: Eukaryota; Metazoa; Chordata; Amphibia; Anura; Megophryidae. The record is from RNAcentral.
AUCCUAAGACUUGCAAGACCAGGAGCCUUCAAAGCCCCCAGCAGGAGUUAAAACCUCCUAGUUUCUG